UACGGAGGGUGCGAGGCGUUGUCCGGAAUCACUGGGCGUAAAGGGCGCGUAGGUGGCCUGUGGAAGUCUGCGGUGAAAGCCCGGCGCUCAACGCCGGGUCGGCCGUGGAUACUCUCGGGCUCGAGCUUACUAGAGGCAGAUGGAAUUCCGGGUGUAGCGGUGGAAUGCGUAGAGAUCCGGAAGAACACCAGUGGCGAAGGCGGCUCACUGGCCCGGUACUGACGCUGAGGUGCGAAAGCGUGGGGAGCAAACAGG
This 255-nucleotide ribosomal RNA is filed under the name uncultured bacterium. RNAcentral's name for it is "partial 16S ribosomal RNA". It matches the Rfam family "Bacterial small subunit ribosomal RNA", at positions 524 to 776 of the family's 1533-position model. The record is from RNAcentral.